RNAcentral lists this ribosomal RNA (888 nucleotides) under Physisporinus sp. 1 RS-2021. RNAcentral describes it as "partial 28S ribosomal RNA". It matches the Rfam family "Eukaryotic large subunit ribosomal RNA", at positions 71 to 945 of the family's 3401-position model. Lineage: Eukaryota; Fungi; Basidiomycota; Agaricomycetes; Polyporales; Meripilaceae. The record is from RNAcentral.
AGGAUUCCCCUAGUAACUGCGAGUGAAGCGGGAAAAGCUCAAAUUUAAAAUCUGGCAGUCUUUGGCUGUCCGAGUUGUAUUCUAGAGAAGCGCUUUCCGUGCCGGACCGUGUACAAGUCUCUUGGAACAGAGCGUCAUAGAGGGUGAGAAUCCCGUCUUUGACACGGACUACCGGUGCUUUGUGAUGCGUUUUCAAAGAGUCGAGUUGUUUGGGAAUGCAGCUCAAAAUGGGUGGUAAAUUCCAUCUAAAGCUAAAUAUUGGCGAGAGACCGAUAGCGAACAAGUACCGUGAGGGAAAGAUGAAAAGCACUUUGGAAAGAGAGUUAAACAGUACGUGAAAUUGCUGAAAGGGAAACGCUUGAAGUCAGUCGCGUCGUUCAGAACUCAGCCUGGCUUUUGCUCGGUGCACUUUCUGAAUGACGGGCCAGCAUCAAUUUUGACUGUCGGAUAAAGGCCAGAGAAAUGUGGCUCCUUUGGGAGUGUUAUAGUCUCUGGUUGCAUACGAUGGUUGGGAUUGAGGAACUCAGCAUGCCUUUAUGGUCGGGGUUCGCCCACGUUCAUGCUUAGGAUGCUGGCGUAAUGGCUUUAAACGACCCGUCUUGAAACACGGACCAAGGAGUCUAACAUGCCUGCGAGUGUUUGGGUGGAAAACCCGAGCGCGCAAUGAAAGUGAAAGUUGGGAUCCCUGUCGUGGGGAGCACUGACGCCCGGACCAGACCUUCUGUGACGGAUCCGCGGUAGAGCAUGUAUGUUGGGACCCGAAAGAUGGUGAACUAUGCCUGAAUAGGGUGAAGCCAGAGGAAACUCUGGUGGAGGCUCGUAGCGAUUCUGACGUGCAAAUCGAUCGUCAAAUUUGGGUAUAGGGGCGAAAGACUAAUCGAACCAUCU